GAUGAACGCUGGCGGCGUGCCUAAUACAUGCAAGUCGAGCGAACGGACGAGAAGCUUGCUUCUCUGAUGUUAGCGGCGGACGGGUGAGUAACACGUGGAUAACCUACCUAUAAGACUGGGAUAACUUCGGGAAACCGGAGCUAAUACCGGAUAAUAUUUUGAACCGCAUGGUUCAAAAGUGAAAGACGGUCUUGCUGUCACUUAUAGAUGGAUCCGCGCUGCAUUAGCUAGUUGGUAAGGUAACGGCUUACCAAGGCAACGAUGCAUAGCCGACCUGAGAGGGUGAUCGGCCACACUGGAACUGAACCACGGUCCAGACUCCUACGGGAGGCAGCAGUAGGGAAUCUUCCGCAAUGGGCGAAAGCCUGACGGAGCAACGCCGCGUGAGUGAUGAAGGUCUUCGGAUCGUAAAACUCUGUUAUUAGGGAAGAACAUAUGUGUAAGUAACUGUGCACAUCUUGACGGUACCUAAUCAGAAAGCCACGGCUAACUACGUG
RNAcentral lists this ribosomal RNA (497 nucleotides) under uncultured bacterium. RNAcentral describes it as "partial 16S ribosomal RNA". It matches the Rfam family "Bacterial small subunit ribosomal RNA", at positions 28 to 507 of the family's 1533-position model. The record is from RNAcentral.